Molecule: ribosomal RNA, 256 nt
Filed under: uncultured bacterium
Lineage: Bacteria
Description: partial 16S ribosomal RNA
Rfam family: Bacterial small subunit ribosomal RNA
Source: RNAcentral
UGGCGGACGGGUGAGUAAUGUCUGGGAAACUGCCCGAUGGAGGGGGAUAACUACUGGAAACGGUAGCUAAUACCGCAUAACGUCGCAAGACCAGAGAGGGGGACCUUCGGGCCUCUUGCCAUCGGAUGUGCCCAGAUGGGAUUAGCUAGUAGGUGGGGUAAAGGCUCACCUAGGCGACGAUCCCUAGCUGGUCUGAGAGGAUGACCAGCCACACUGGAACUGAGACACGGUCCAAACUCCUACGGGAGGCAGCAUG